CCUUUGUCUAAGGGUGGCAAUGCUUGCUACAGGUCCAGGUGGCACAUGCAUAGGCCACACUGACUUGGGAUGGUUAGCAGUGUUCUGGGCCAGCUGCCAAGUCUGCCCUGGGGUUGUUCCUGAUUGGGCAAUUUAGGUCACAGGCCCAUCUCUGGAGCAAAGAGAUUGUGGCCUGGAUGGGGAGGAGGAAUAGGGGUUGGCCCCAGGCUCAGGAGUUGAGAGGAAGAGUGGAGAGUGGAAUGAACCCGGGCUGUCCCUAAAAAGAAAGGGAGGGACGGAUGUGGACAGGGGCCUCCAGCAAGCACAGUGGAGGGGACAGGAGAGAUUGACAAGCAAAGCCCUCGGGCGGCUCCGGCUGCUUGAGGAUGAGAAAGAGUUCUCCACAGAGCGCUGCUGGAGUCCGGGAGCCUGGAGUCCGUGAACCUGGACGAGAAAACAGUCACAUCCAUAUCGGCACCAACUAAAUUCAGCAUCGCCCUGCCUUGUGAAUGUGAGCAGCAAAACCCAGUGAGGUCUGUGGUUUUGCCACCAAUGUUAUCAACCACAAACCCCACUGGGUUUCCGAGCGUCCUACCUUUAUUGCAGAAAUUUCAGGACGGCAUUUGGACUCAAAUCACGGUAGUUCUUAAAUCCGCUACUAGAUAUUCUUUUAAAUGUGCUAGGAAGAAGUAGGAGUUCCCCGGUGGCCUAGCUGGUUAGGAAUCCUGCAUUAUCACUGCUGUAGCUGGGUUAGAUUCCUGGCCUGGGAGUGUCUGCAGGCUGCUGGCCAAAAAAAAAAAAGAAGAAGAAGGAGAAAAGGAAGAGGAAGAGGAAGAAAAGAAGAAGAGGCAUGUAUAUUAAACAAUAGUUUGACAAAUUUCAGUGCAUUUGGCUUCCUUUAUAAUCCUACGUAUUUUGCUAUUUUGCAUUGUGCAUUUAAAAACAUGAUCCUGGAGUUCCCGUCGUGGCGCAGUGGUUGACGGGUCCGACUAGGAACCAUGAGGUUGCGGGUUCGGUCCCUGCCCUUGCUCAGUGGGUUGGCGAUCCGGCGUUGCCGUGAGCUGUGGUGUAGGUUGCAGACUCGGCUCAGAUCCCGCGUUGCUGUGGCUCUGGCGUAGGCCGGUGGCUACAGCUCCGAUUCGACCCCUGGCCUGGGAACCUCCAUGUGCCGCGGGAGCAGCCCAGGAGAUAGCAACAACAACAUGAUCCUG
RNAcentral lists this long non-coding RNA (1190 nucleotides) under Sus scrofa (pig). RNAcentral's name for it is "lncRNA (ENSSSCG00060018418.1)". The record is from RNAcentral. Lineage: Eukaryota; Metazoa; Chordata; Mammalia; Artiodactyla; Suidae.